RNAcentral lists this unclassified non-coding RNA (4659 nucleotides) under Megachile rotundata (alfalfa leafcutting bee). RNAcentral's name for it is "rho-associated protein kinase 2, transcript variant X5". Lineage: Eukaryota; Metazoa; Arthropoda; Insecta; Hymenoptera; Megachilidae. The record is from RNAcentral.
ACUUCAUCCCUAUAUUCCUAGGUCCAUAGUUUUUCCGAAGUCGUUGAUACUCCAUCUCAACGACUUUCAACGUAAUUUUUUCGUAUUACGCGUAACAUUUUUGAUUUUAUUCAAUUUAAAUAAAUAUAUAUGUACGAUAGAAAGGUGAUCUUUAUGUUGUCAAUUUGCAAACAACGAACAUUCAAAUGGUGUCGGGUACAGUGCAAGUAACCAACAUUUUUUCGAAGAUGCUGCUAUAUUUUCAAAUUGCAUAAUGCGAGAGAUCGCGUUCGAAAUAAAUGUCAAUUUUUUUCAAACAAAGAUUAAGAAUUUUUUUCGAUUAUCGUGCGUAAUUCAAAAGAUGUACUGAACCAUUUUAAGUUUUCCGCGAGUCGUUCAUUGGUUUUGAUGACCGUUGUGAUUUUUCCGAAUGGCGCAUGCACGGCUCAGCUGUGUGCAAUCGCGACCAAUCGUUUAAUAGAAAAAAUGGAUGGAGUACGUGAUGAAGACAGGCGCAGGCGCCUGAGGGUAUUGGAAGAACGUAUAAGAGAUCCAAGAAGCAUUACAAAUAUUGAUUGCCUUUUGGAUACAGUUCAAGCCCUGGUGGCAGAUUGUGAUCAUCCCAGUGUAAAGCGUAUGAAAAAUAUAGAAGCAUAUAUGAACAGAUAUGAUUCGGUGGCUCAGGAUAUUUGUAAAAUGCGAAUGCGUACAGAUGACUUCACUUUAAUAAAAGUGAUAGGUCGGGGAGCAUUUGGAGAAGUACAGUUGGUACGACAUAAAUCCACACAGAAAGUAUAUGCUAUGAAAUUACUGAGUAAAUUUGAAAUGAUUAAGCGAUCAGAUUCAGCCUUUUUUUGGGAAGAACGUGAUAUAAUGGCACAUGCUAAUUCCCAGUGGAUUGUUCAACUUCAUUUUGCGUUUCAAGAUCAAAAAUAUCUUUAUAUGGUGAUGGACUAUAUGCCGGGUGGUGAUUUAGUAAACUUAAUGUCAAACUAUGAUGUGCCAGAGAAAUGGGCAAAAUUUUAUUGUGCAGAAGUGGUGCUCGCAUUAGAUGCAAUACACCUUAUGGGGUUUGUCCAUCGAGAUGUAAAGCCAGAUAACAUGUUACUAGAUAAACAUGGUCAUUUAAAGCUUGCAGAUUUCGGCACUUGCAUGAGAAUGGAUGUUGAUGGACUUGUUCGAUCUGAUACUGCAGUAGGUACACCUGAUUAUAUAUCACCUGAAGUGCUCCAAUCCCAGGGUGGUGAAGGUGUAUAUGGAAGAGAGUGUGAUUGGUGGUCAGUAGGAGUGUUCUUGUACGAAAUGCUUGUUGGUGACACACCUUUUUAUGCAGAUUCAUUAGUUGGAACAUACUCAAAAAUUAUGGAUCAUAGAAAUUCAUUACACUUUCCUCCAGAAGUUGAUAUAUCUCAUUCGGCUAAGAACUUAAUAUGUGGUUUUCUUACUGAUAGAACAAAACGUUUAGGAAGAAAUGGCGUAGAAGAAAUAAAAAAUCAUCCGUUCUUUAAAAAUGAUCAAUGGACAUUUGAUAAUUUGCGGGAGUGCGUGCCACCAGUGGUACCAGAACUUUCUGGGGACGACGACACUAGUAACUUUGAUGACGUUGAUAAAGAAGAUGGACCAGAGGAAAGUUUUCCGGUUCCGAAAGCGUUUUCUGGAAAUCAUUUGCCUUUCAUUGGCUUCACGUAUUCUGGAGAUUAUCAGUUAAUGGCUUCUAGCGGUAAAGAAUCGGUAGAUGGAUUAGAAAAUCAUAUCAAUAAUGGUACGAGCGAUGAUGUUAAAAUUUCACAGUUAGAAAAUUUAUUGGAUAAAGAGAGAAGACAAGUAGAAUCCUUGGAAUCACGACAGAAAGCUUUGACAACGCAGUUAGAAGCUAUGACGCGUCGAGAAACUGAAUUACGUGAAGAAAUAGGCAGAGUAGAUAAGGAAUUGACUUUGUUAAGACACAAUUAUAAAGAAGCGCAACGCAGGGUAGAACAUGAAACAGAAACUCGUAGAAAAGCGGAGUCGUUAUUUGUAGAAUUGAAAAAGAAAUUCGAUGAAGAGCAGACAAAAAGAGCGCGCGAUGCGAGUAAUUCGCAGCAAACUUCUGAACGCGUUACAACGUUAGAAAAACAGAUUAAGGAGAUGCAAUCAAAAUUGGAAAGGGAAACUGAAACUGUAACAAGGUUGCGGAAACAAGCUACAGAGAUUACCGUCGUUCGUCAGGCAGCAGAGCAAAUGGCAAGUGAGUUACAAGUGGCAAGAGCUCAAUUGCAGGCACAACGAGAUAAUUUACAACAAGAAGUGGCUACAUUACAAGGACAACUAUCGAAAGAACGCAGUUCUCGAUCGCAAGCAUCAUCAUUAACUGCCGAAUUAGAAACUCGCCUUUCUGCUCUUCAUCUCGAACUCGAACAUAGCCGCGAAAAAGAGGAAAAAGCACUUUUGGAUAACAGGCAAUUAACAGAAAGAAUUUCGGCAUUAGAAAAAGAAGCUGCUAGUCUGACUCUUGAAUUGAAAGCCGCGCAAGCGAGGUACAAUCAAGAAGUAGUCGCUCAUCAAGAAACGGAACGUUCACGCAUAUUAUCCAAAGAAGAAGCUAAUCUAGAGGUUGUUAAAGCAUUACAAGCAAAACUAAACGAAGAGAAAAGUGGAAGGCAACGCGCUGAACUUCUUGCACAAGAAAAGGAAAGGCAAACUUCUAUGCUUUCUGUGGAUUACCGACAAAUACAGCAACGAUUACAGAAAUUGGAGGGUGAACAUAGGCAGGAAGUUGAAAAGGUAAAGGUGCUACAGGGUCAGGUUGAACAGGAACAGCAGAAAAGAAACGUUCUGCAGACGGAUUUAGCACAGCAGUCAUCCGAAGCAGGGCGAUUACGUGCUAGAGAACAACAGUUAGUUGGUGAAGUUGCCCAGUUACGAGAAGCAAAACGACAGAUAGAAGAAGAAUUACAUCAUUUGAAAACGCAGAGAAACGUGGAUCAAUUACAGACAAAGGAAUUACAAGAACAGUUAGAAGCAGAAGCUUACUUUUCGACUCUUUACAAAACACAGACACAAGAACUUCGAGAAGAAUUGGACGAGAAAAUACGGUUACAACAAGAAUUGGAAGAAGAACGCGCUUCCUUAGUACAUCAGUUACAAUUAUCUUUAGCUAGAGGAGAUAGUGAAGCUUUAGCAAGAUCAAUAGCUGAAGAAACAGUGGCAGAUCUUGAGAAGGAACGAACAAUGAAAGAAUUAGAGUACAAAGAUGGUGUGGCUAAACAUCAUCAAGAAUUAAAUUCAAAAGAACAAAUUAUAAACCGACUUAAAGAUAACGAAAGUGAACUUAAGAAAAGUGUUGACCAGUAUCUUAAAGAGAAAGAUGAUUUUAGUAAACGAUUGAAAGAAUUACAAGAUCAACUUACUAAAGCACAAUCUAAUGCAGAGGAAAUAGAAAAGCUUAGUAGUAAAUUAAAAACUGAACAGUUACUGAAGCAACAAGCGGUUAAUAAGUUAGCAGAGAUUAUGAAUAGGAAAGAUUUAUCUUCAAGUGGCAAGACCAAGAACAAAGCAUCUGCGGCAGAUCUAAGAAAGAAGGAGAAAGAUUGUAGACGUUUGCAACAAGAACUUACUCAAGAGAGAGAAAAGUAUGGACAGUUGGCAGCUAAGUGGCAAAAGGACUUGCAAGAUUUACAAGCACAACUAGUGGAGGAGAAUCAAACAAAAUUAAGAUUACAAAUGGAACUUGAUUCAAAGGAUUCAGAGAUAGAAACAUUACAAAUGAAAAUCGCCUCACUUAACUCGGAAACAGCUAGCGUUUCUUCGGUAGAAAAUGACGGAGAAGAUUCCGUUUUAUCAGAGCAUGGUACCAUGAGAUUGGAAGGUUGGUUAAAUGUGCCAAACAAACAGAACAUUAAAAGGCACGGAUGGAAGAAACAAUACGUCGUCGUUUCUUCGAAGAAGAUAAUAUUUUAUAAUAGCGAAAACGAUAAAAUAAAUGCGGAUCCAGUCUUGAUACUAGAUCUAAAUAAAGUCUUCCACGUUAGAUCUGUGACUCAGGGUGACGUUAUCCGAGCUGAUGCCAAAGAUAUUCCGAGAAUUUUCCAGUUAUUGUACGCUGGUGAAGGCGAAGCAAGACGUCCUGGCGAUGAGGGAAAUACACUGCCUGGAGUGGAAUUGCCACAACUUGCAGAUAAACCAGGCACACAAUCAUUAAAGGGCCACGAGUUUGUGUCAAUCUCGUAUCAUAUGCCGACUACUUGCGAGGUAUGCUCCAAACAAUUGUGGCACAUGUUUCGACCGCCACCGGCUCUCGAGUGUCGAAGGUGUCAUAUAAAGGUACACAAGGAGCAUUUGGAUAAGAAAGAGGAUGCCAUAGCACCGUGCAAAUUACAUUACGAUCCAAACAGUGCCCGUGAACUAUUAAUAUUGGCUGGUAGUCCUGAUGAACAGAAAUAUUGGGUCGCAAGACUGUCGAGGCGUGUACAAAAAUGUGGCUACAAGGCGAAUUCGCAUGUCGACGGCACGGGGCAGCGUGUCUCGCCAAGGUAGCGUAGCCGUGCGACUCAACGUAACUGGAGACUAAGUAGCUCUCUUGUAUUGUGGCAUCGCAUGAUUGGGUGUAGCGAGGGAAUCUACGAGAUCCACCUUGAAGCCAUAUUUAUCGGUGCAACAACGAUCCGCGACCCUGCCAGCGAACGCCAGCAUGGGCAAGUG